UGCGCAGGCGGGGCAAUAAGUCAGUGGUGAAAUCCUGCAGCUUAACCGUAGAACUGCCAUUGAUACUGUUGUCCUUGAGUAUAGUUGAGGUGGGCGGAAUAUGUAAUGUAGCGGUGAAAUGCAUAGAUAUUACAUAGAACACCGAUUGCGAAGGCAGCUCACUAAGCUAUCACUGACGCUGAGGCACGAAAGCGUGGGGAGCGAACAGGAUUAGAUACCCUGGUAGUCC
This 229-nucleotide ribosomal RNA is filed under the name uncultured bacterium. RNAcentral's name for it is "partial 16S ribosomal RNA". It matches the Rfam family "Bacterial small subunit ribosomal RNA", at positions 568 to 796 of the family's 1533-position model. The record is from RNAcentral.